GUAAUGGUUCCUUUGAUUUUGGGGAAAUAUAAAGCGGGUAACACUUAUAAUACAUGCUAGGAAUACAACGCAAUCCAUGGGAUAUGUUUAUGUUUCGUACAGGUGAGUAAAAUUUCGGAAUUAACCAGUUGGAUAUAGAUUUAAGACUGAUAAGCCGGAAACGUAUUAGGCAAUUAGAGCCAAUGAUGCGUAGCUGAGAAGCCACAUUUCCACUGAAACAAGGGGGAAACUCGAAUAGAGGCAGCAGUAGAGAAUAUUGUACAAUGUAUGAAAGUAUGAUACAGAGAUGUUACAAUAGUUUAAGAAGACUAUCAAAUUUAUGUGCCAGCAGAUGCGGUUAUACAUGAAGUCUAAGUUUUAAAAAAAGAAAGGCGUAAAGUGUGUAUAGGUGUAAGGGUCUAUAAAGGUAAAUAGAAUAAAUUAAGUAGUGGUGAAAUGCUUUAAUAUUAAUGAGAAUGCCAAAGGCGAAGGCAAUUUGCUAGUUAAGACUAACGCUGAAACACGAAAGUAAGGGAAGCGAACGGGAUUAGAGACCCCGGUAGUCCUUACUGUAAACUAUGAUUAAUAGAUUGUUAAUAAGAAUUAAUAAUCAAUGAAACUUAAGAAUUCCGCCUGAAGUCUACGAUCGCAAGAUUAACAUUCAAAAAAUUUGGCGGUUCACUAAUCCAAUUAGAGGAGCGUGUAGUUUAAUUCGAUGAUCCGCGGAUAACCUUACCAAGAUUUGAAUAUAGGGAAUAAAGAAUUUAUUACUUUUAGAUACAGGUAUUGCAUGGCCGUCGUCAGUUUGUGUUGUGAAAGGAAUAGAACGAACUUAACCCUUAAUUAAAGUUAUUUAAAUUAUAAAGGUUUAAUUUAAGGAUGACGUCAGGUCCUUAUGAUCUUAAUAUCUUGGGCGAUAUAUGCGCUACAGUCUUAUAUACAAAGGGUUUAAAAGUAAGCUUAAAAGUAGGAGUUCGAAGGGUUUUUUGAAAGAAAAAACUUGAAGUUGGAUUUAAUAGUAAUCGAAAAGUAGAGCGUUUCGGUGAAUAUGGCUCUAGUGUUCGUACAAAUCGCCCGUCACCUCCACUAAAUAAAUAAUUUAAAAGUAUUAUGUUAAAAUUAAAAGGAAAAAAUAAAUAAUUAGUAUAAUUUUAAAGUUUUAAUUUAAAGUUAAUAUAAAAAAAAGUUUAUAAGGUUGAGGAAGUCGUAACAUAGUGAAAGUAUUGGAAAAUGCUUUCGGAUUAAUGUACAU
Molecule: ribosomal RNA, 1231 nt
Filed under: Tethya citrina
Lineage: Eukaryota; Metazoa; Porifera; Demospongiae; Tethyida; Tethyidae
Description: 12S
Rfam family: Bacterial small subunit ribosomal RNA
Source: RNAcentral